AUACGGAGGAUCCGAGCGUUAUCCGGAUUUAUUGGGUUUAAAGGGUGCGCAGGCGGCCAUUUAAGUCAGCGGUUAAAUCGUGGGGCUCAACCCCAUUCUGCCGUUGAUACUGGGUGGCUUGAUUGCGGUCGAGGUUGGCGGAAUUCGUUGUGUAGCGGUGAAAUGCAUAGAUAUGACGAAGAACACCGAUUGCGUAGGCAGCUGACCAGACCGCAAAUGACGCUCAUGCACGAAAGUGCGGGGAUCGAACAGGAUUAGAUACCCUGGUAGUCCGCACAGUAAACGAUGAAUACUUGUUUUCGGCGAUAUAAUGUCGGAGGCAAAGCGAAAGCGAUAAGUAUUCCACCUGGGGAGUACGCCGGUAACGGUGAAACUCAAAGGAAUUGACGGGG
This 392-nucleotide ribosomal RNA is filed under the name uncultured bacterium. RNAcentral's name for it is "partial 16S ribosomal RNA". It matches the Rfam family "Bacterial small subunit ribosomal RNA", at positions 523 to 918 of the family's 1533-position model. The record is from RNAcentral.